UACGUAGGUGGCAAGCGUUGUCCGGAUUUAUUGGGUUUAAAGGGUGCGUAGGCGGUUUUCUAAGUCAGCAGUGAAAUACGGCAGCUCAACUGUCGAGGUGCUGUUGAUACUGGGGGAACUUGAGUACUGAUGAGGUAGGCGGAAUGGACGGUGUAGCGGUGAAAAUGCUUAGAGAUCGUCCAGAACACCGAUAGCGAAGGCAGCUUACUAAGGAGUAAACUGACGCUGAGGCACGAAAAGUGUGGGGGAUCAAAACAGG
Molecule: ribosomal RNA, 259 nt
Filed under: uncultured bacterium
Lineage: Bacteria
Description: partial 16S ribosomal RNA
Rfam family: Bacterial small subunit ribosomal RNA
Source: RNAcentral